This 516-nucleotide ribosomal RNA is filed under the name Lagarotis semicaligata. RNAcentral's name for it is "eukaryotic LSU rRNA". Lineage: Eukaryota; Metazoa; Arthropoda; Insecta; Hymenoptera; Ichneumonidae. The record is from RNAcentral.
CCUGAGAAACCCAAAAGAUCGAAUGGGGAGAUUCAUCGUCAGCGAUCCAGGCACGUGUGCGGUUCGUGAUGUCGGGGACUUCGGUCUCAUGUCACACGUCCGUAUGGUUUUUUGCCGGGUGUCGUCGGCGUGCACUUCUCCCCUAGUAGGACGUCGCGACCCGUUGGGUGUCGGUCUACGGCCCGGGUGGGCGCCUGUCAUGUGUUACGCUUUACGGCGUCAUGUGGCAGACCCCCGGUUGUCUGACCAGCUGCUCGGCGGUACUCGCACGGUAUCGAGUCGCAAAUAUUCGAACUGCGUCCGGCCCGCCGCAAGCGAGGCCAGUGUUUCCCGGAUGUACGGACCUAGCGCCGUCACCGGGCCUGGCCAGCUGUUGGUUGGUGGUGUCCUGGGACUGGCUCUAAAUUAUGAUACCGGUCGGCGACGCUACUGCUUUGGGUACUUUCAGGACCCGUCUUGAAACACGGACCAAGGAGUCUAACAUGUGCGCGAGUCAUUGGGAGCUAAUAAGCCUAA